AACGAACGCUGGCGGCAUGCCUAACACAUGCAAGUCGAACGAGACCUUCGGGUCUAGUGGCGCACGGGUGCGUAACGCGUGGGAACCUGCCCUUAGGUUCGGAAUAACUCCCCGAAAGGGGUGCUAAUACCGGAUAAUGUCUUCGGACCAAAGAUUUAUCGCCUUUGGAUGGGCCCGCGUUGGAUUAGCUAGUUGGUAGGGUAAAAGCCUACCAAGGCGACGAUCCAUAGCUGGUCUGAGAGGAUGACCAGCCACACUGGGACUGAGACACGGCCCAGACUCCUACGGGAGGCAGCAGUGGGGAAUAUUGGACAAUGGGCGAAAGCCUGAUGCAGCAAUGCCGCGUGAGUGAUGAAGGCCUUAGGGUUGUAAAGCUCUUUUACCCGGGAUGAUAAUGACAGUACCGGGAGAAUAAGCCCCGGCUAACUCCGUG
RNAcentral lists this ribosomal RNA (433 nucleotides) under uncultured bacterium. RNAcentral describes it as "partial 16S ribosomal RNA". It matches the Rfam family "Bacterial small subunit ribosomal RNA", at positions 29 to 507 of the family's 1533-position model. The record is from RNAcentral.